Molecule: ribosomal RNA, 301 nt
Filed under: uncultured bacterium
Lineage: Bacteria
Description: partial 16S ribosomal RNA
Rfam family: Bacterial small subunit ribosomal RNA
Source: RNAcentral
CAGCAGCCGCGGGAAUACAGAGGGUGCGAGCGUUAAUCGGAUUUACUGGGCGUAAAGCGUGCGUAGGCGGCUAAUUGAGUCGGAUGUGAAAUCCCCGAGCUUAACUUGGGAAUUGCAUUCGAUACUGGUUAGCUAGAGUGUGGGAGAGGAUGGUAGAAUUCCAGGUGUAGCGGUGAAAUGCGUAGAGAUCUGGAGGAAUACCGAUGGCGAAGGCAGCCAUCUGGCCUAACACUGACGCUGAGGUACGAAAGCAUGGGGAGCAAACAGGAUUAGAUACCCGUGUAGUCCCUGUCUCUUAUAA